RNAcentral lists this unclassified non-coding RNA (412 nucleotides) under Prostanthera cryptandroides subsp. euphrasioides. Its description in RNAcentral is "partial external transcribed spacer". Lineage: Eukaryota; Viridiplantae; Streptophyta; Magnoliopsida; Lamiales; Lamiaceae. The record is from RNAcentral.
GGAUCAACCAGGUAGCAUUCCUCACCGACGUCGAUCGGCGUGUCRKAAUCCGUAAGGAAUCCACCACAACCRAUACGAACGUCGUUCGCACGUAGCGUUGAACGCUUUGUUCCGAGGGGCAGAUAGAGRCCGAGGCCUUGUGCCCACAACAUAUUCCGAAUCCGAGAUUUCGAGCAUUACGCCUUGGGUGGGCUACCCGAGUGCGUACGUACACACAAGAGUGCCAACCACGACGCAUUCUAUGAGUUCCAAUCCGCACCACGACACCGACGGGUGACGCAUAACAGAAUGAAAAAGGAGCGAUUUYGCCGUCGUAAUACCUUAUAGAUAGGUAUCGARCACAGGAGGCCACAGACAGACAGGGCUCGGGAGCCCUUGUGCCAAUGAUUGCAAAGGCGCGGUUGGGAUGUCG